CCCCUGUCCUUGAAAUGUAUCUUCUGACCCUGUUCCUGUACUGGCAGCCACUUGAAGGACAUUGCCUUGACAGCGUAAUGUGAUACUGCAAGCACCAGGACAGUUUUGUAGCUGAAAUUCCCGUAAGGCCUCUGCAUAAACUCAAGAUUCUAGCAGGUGUUCAAGAAAACCCCAAUCCAAUCAUGGUGAACUGAGAGUAAACAGGGGAAAGAAGAAUUGGAGUCUGAUUGUAACCAAGAAAGUUCACCUGUGGUGGGGUGACCACAUGUCCUCCUCCAAGCAAGUCUUACAACCAAAGAUAUUUAUUAUAAAAUGAAACUAAAUCUGUCUAUGGUAAAAGCACUUAAUAUUGCUGUUUAAAAACUAUCUUAACCUAGAUUUAAUGCACUAUUUAUCAAGCAUCUGUGUCAACAUUGUAUUAAAUAGAAAAGAAAUGCUAUCUA
Molecule: long non-coding RNA, 443 nt
Organism: Lontra canadensis (Northern American river otter)
Lineage: Eukaryota; Metazoa; Chordata; Mammalia; Carnivora; Mustelidae
Exons: 3
Source: RefSeq, a predicted model, not a curated record